AGAGUGAACGCUGGCGGCAGGCCUAAUACAUGCAAGUCGAACGGCAGCACGGCAGAGCUUGCUCUGUGGGUGGCGAGUGGCGGACGGGUGAGGAAUACAUGGGAAUCUGCCCAGUCGUGGGGGAUAACGUAUGGAAACGUACGCUAAUACCGCAUGCCGCCCGUUCGGGGGAAAGCCCGGGGACCUUCGGGCCUGGCGCGAUUGGAUGAGCCCAUGUCGGAUUAGCUAGUUGGCGGGGUAACGCCCACAGGCAACGAUCCUUAGCUGGUCUGAGAGGAUGAUCAGCCACACGUGGGACUGAGACACGG
RNAcentral lists this ribosomal RNA (308 nucleotides) under uncultured soil bacterium. RNAcentral's name for it is "bacterial SSU rRNA". It matches the Rfam family "Bacterial small subunit ribosomal RNA", at positions 26 to 329 of the family's 1533-position model. The record is from RNAcentral.